This 165-nucleotide non-coding RNA is filed under the name uncultured Agathobacter sp. The record is from RNAcentral. Lineage: Bacteria; Bacillati; Bacillota; Clostridia; Lachnospirales; Lachnospiraceae.
AGCGAAGCCGGUUAGAUACUGUAGAAUUAUGCCAUGAAGCACAGAAAUGACUUGCCAGGGAAGGCAAGUCAAGGAGCUAUCGAGCCAUGGAGGGCGAGUAGCGACGGUUUCGUCAAGCAUAAAAAAUCUGCAAGCAUAAUUCGUACAGUAUCUUAUCGACGUAGC